UACGGAGGGUGCGAGCGUUGUUCGGAAUUACUGGGCGUAAAGCGCGUGUAGGCGGCCUUCUAAGUCUGGUGUGAAAGCCCGGGGCUCAACCCCGGAAGUGCAUUGGAUACUGGGAGGCUGGAGUACCGGAGAGGAGGGUGGAAUUCCUGGUGUAGCGGUGAAAUGCGCAGAUAUCAGGAAGAACACCCGUGGCGAAGGCGGCUCUCUGGGACGGUACUGACGCUGAGACGCGAAAGCGUGGGGAGCGAACAGG
This 253-nucleotide ribosomal RNA is filed under the name uncultured bacterium. RNAcentral's name for it is "partial 16S ribosomal RNA". It matches the Rfam family "Bacterial small subunit ribosomal RNA", at positions 524 to 776 of the family's 1533-position model. The record is from RNAcentral.